This 460-nucleotide ribosomal RNA is filed under the name uncultured bacterium. RNAcentral describes it as "partial 16S ribosomal RNA". It matches the Rfam family "Bacterial small subunit ribosomal RNA", at positions 338 to 795 of the family's 1533-position model. The record is from RNAcentral.
CCUACGGGGGGCAGCAGUGAGGAAUAUUGGUCAAUGGACGAGAGUCUGAACCAGCCAAGUAGCGUGAAGGAUGACUGCCCUAUGGGUUGUAAACUUCUUUUAUAAAGGAAUAAAACGAGGCACGUGUGCCUUUUUGCAUGUACUUUAUGAAUAAGGAUCGGCUAACUCCGUGCCAGCAGCCGCGGUAAUACGGAGGAUCCGAGCGUUAUCCGGAUUUAUUGGGUUUAAAGGGAGCGUAGAUGGGUUGUUAAGUCAGUUGUAAAAGUUUGCGGCUCAACCGUAAAAUUGCAAUUGAUACUGGCAGUCUUGAGUACAGUUGAGGUAGGCGGAAUUCGUGGUGUAGCGGUGAAAUGCUUAGAUAUCACGAAGAACCCCGAUUGCGAAGGCAGCUUACUAAACUGUGACUGACAUUGAUGCUCGAAAGUGUGGGUAUCAAACAGGAUUAGAUACCCCUGUAGUC